AUAGGAUAGAAGAAUAGAAUAGAACAGAACAGAACAGUACAGAACAGAACAGAAUAGAAUAGAAUCGGCAUACAAUUAAAAUGAAAUUUCCUUGCAUUCAACUCUCAAAGGGUCUCCAUUUGUAUAUUUAGACUACUUGUACAUCUAUUCUCCCCUGUCCCGUUUUCUCUUCACAGGUCCUUGCACUCCGAGAGGAAGGUUCCAGAAGGUUGUCGGUUCCUCAUCCUGGAGACAGUGAACGUUUUCCGGAAAUACAUUUCCAUCUGGGACGCUCCACUCAGCGGCUACCAAAACCAGGAUGUUCUCUUUAUAGCGACGGAAAAAGAAGCAGAACUGGCCAAGAGAGCAAUGCGGUGCCACCACAGUCAGCUGCUCUGGUUCCGCCGUCUGUACGUGAGGUUCUCCCGCUACAUGGUGGUGAACUCGCUGUGUUUCCUCUAACGGAGGAGCUGGAGACCCAGAGAGAAAAAAAGGGAGGAAGAUGUGACUCUCUAGGUCCCGGCCGAGCGGAACAAUCUAGCAGGACCAAGAAGAAGGGACUUCUCCGUGGAAGAAGGAAAUAAGAUGUUAUGGCUCUCCUCUCUUAAGGAGGUCCAUCUGGUGGGACCGAGAAGGGCCCUCUCUGUGGCGGCUCCAUCCACGUGGAACAUCAUACCUGUAGUGGUGGGUUGCACAGUAUAGUAGUACCCUUUUUUUUUUUUUUUAAAUUUUUGAUCUAUAUGCCGCCCUUCUCUGGAGACUCAGGGCGGCUUACAAUGUGCUCAGCAAUAGCCUUCAUACUUUUGUAUAUUUAUACAAAGUCAGCUUAUUGCCCCCACAAUCUGGGUCCUUUGCAGCGCGCAUGCUCGCUUUGUACGUUCGUGCGCCCGGUUCACACACGCACCUGCCCUCCGUGCAUGCACUUUCCUCGCCGAGCCUCAAAAACAUCUCUAAUAGGACGACAGAGUAGGGGCAGGUGGGCAGGCCUACCCAUGAUUUCUGUUACCAGUUCAGGCGAACCGGUGCGAACCGGCUGAAUACCACCUCUGCAUCCCUGUGGAAAUAAGAUGUUAAGGCUCUCCUCUCUUAAGGAGGUCCAUCUGGUGGGACCAGGAAGGGCCUUCUCCGUGGCGGCUCCCUCCACAUGGAACAUCAUCCCUGCAGUGGUGGGUUGCACAUUGUGGUGCUACGGUUCGCCGUGCGCAUGCUCGCAUCGUGCCUGCGCACACCUGCCUUCGUGCAUGCGCUUGGCCUUCUGUGCAUACACCCGGUCUCAAAAACAUCCCUAAAUAGGACGACAUAGAGCAGGGGCAGAUGGGCAAGCCCAGCCGUGAUUUCUGCUACCAGUUUUGGCGAACCGGUCUAAACCAACUGAAGAUGUUACGGCUCUCCUCUCUUAAGGAGGUCCCUCUGGUGGGACCAGGAAGGGCCCUCUCCGUGGUGGCUCCCUCCCUGUGAAACAUCAUCCCUGCGGAGAUACUGUUACUGUUUGGAACUGUUUAUUGUGGAUGACUACAACGACUGGUAAGAAGACUUUGUUAUUGGAUUAUCCCUGGACUAUUGUUUAACCAUCUACUGCUUUAUAUGUGAAUGACCUGGACUGUUUAUUGGACUGUGCCUUAUUACUAUUUCCUGAAAGUAAAUGUCAAGUUUCUGAAAGAUGCCCUAAUUAAUUCAUGAGCCAUGAUCCAAACUUCAAAGGAAAUAUAGUCAUUUAUUUGGAGCAACAUUCCGGCAAUACUGGGAUGCAGUUAGGACUGAUCCCACGUAGAUUUACGUUCCCCUAUGACCCUGUCUCUCCCCUCCUCUCUGGCCAUGUCAUAAAUCACAUUCUCCAAUUACCCACUUUGGCUGGCUGUGAAACCCAACACCCUCCGACUGAUUGCGGUAAGAAAGCAUCUAUGGAAUGCAGCUUCAGUUAGGGAAAUCAAUCAGCUCUAUCAGUUCUCCCUCCCUCCUGCUCAUGGCAACUUGAAAGCUUUGCAAGUUGACAGUAAACACAACUCAGUAUA
Molecule: non-coding RNA, 1991 nt
Organism: Pantherophis guttatus
Lineage: Eukaryota; Metazoa; Chordata; Lepidosauria; Squamata; Colubridae
Source: RefSeq, a predicted model, not a curated record